ACUCCUACGGGAGGCAGCAGUGGGAAUAUUGCACAAUGGGCGCAAGCCUGAUGCAGCCAUGCCGCGUGUGUGAAGAAGGCCUUCGGGUUGUAAAGUACUUUCAGCAGUGAGGAAGGUAGUGUAGUUAAUAGCUGCAUUAUUUGACGUUAGCUGCAGAAGAAGCACCGGCUAACUCCGUGCCAGCAGCCGCGGUAAUACGGAGGGUGCGAGCGUUAAUCGGAAUUACUGGGCGUAAAGCGCAUGCAGGUGGUUUGUUAAGUCAGAUGUGAAAGCCCGGGGCUCAACCUCGGAAUAGCAUUUGAACUGCAGACUAGAGUACUGGUAG
This 325-nucleotide ribosomal RNA is filed under the name uncultured bacterium. RNAcentral describes it as "bacterial SSU rRNA". It matches the Rfam family "Bacterial small subunit ribosomal RNA", at positions 335 to 655 of the family's 1533-position model. The record is from RNAcentral.